AGAGUUUGAUCCUGGCUCAGGAUGAACGCUGGCGACGUGGAUAAGGCAUGCAAGUUAGGGGGCUCUUCGGAGCAACCGGCAAACUGGGUAGUAACAGGUAGGAACAUACCCGAGAGUCAGGAAUAGCCAUGGGAAACCGUGGGUAAUACCUGAUAGUCCCGCAAGGGUAAAGAUUUAUCGCUCUCGGAGUGGCCUGCUUCGUAUCAGCUUGUUGGUGAGGUAAUGGCUCACCAAGGCUAUGACGCGUAGGGGAGGUGAGAGCCUGACCCCCACCAUUGGAACUGAGACACUGUCCAAACACCUACGGGUGGCUGCAGUCGAGAAUCUUCCGCAAUGCACGAAAGUGUGACGGAGCGACGUCGCGUGAUCGAUGAAGUACUUAGGUAUGUAAAGGUCUUUUAUGAGGGAGGAAGUUUAUUGACGUUACCUCAUGAAUAAGGGGUUGCUAAACUCGUGCCAGCAGCAGCGGUAAUACGAGUGCCCCGAGCGUUAUCCGGAAUUAUUGGGCGUAAAGGGUCCGUAGGCGGUUGUAUUAGUCUCUUGUUAAAGCUCUGGGCUUAACCCAGGAAUCGCAAGGAAAACGGUACAACUAGAGAGCGAGAGGGGUGUAUGGAACUCAUGGUGUAGGGGUGAAAUCCGUUGAUAUCAUGGGGAACACCAAAAGCGAAGGCAAUACACUGGCUCGUUUCUGACGCUAAGGGACGAAACCCUGGGUAGCGAAUGGGAUUAGAUACCCCAGUAGUCCAGGGCCUAAACGAUCUUCACUAGCUUUUCGGAGUAUCGACCCUCUGAGAGGCGAAGCUAACGCGUUAAGUGAAGCGCCUGGGUAGUACGAGCGCAAGCUUAAAACUCAAAGGAAUAGACGGGAGCUCGCACAAGCGGUGGAGCGUGUGGUUUAAUUCGACGCUAAGCGAAACACCUCACCGGGGUUAGAAAUCUAGCUGUGCCUUCUGGGAAACCAGAAGGGUCUUCGAGAUCGCUAGACAGGUGAUGCAUGGCCGUCGUCAGUUCGUGGCUUGAGCUGUUCCCUUAAGUGGGGUAACGAACGCAACCCUCGUUGUCUGUUAUACGUAUCAGGCGAGACUGCUCCCUCACGGGAGAGGAAGGUGGGGAUGACGCCAGGUCAGCAUGUCCCUUGAUAUCCCGGGCUACACACGCGCUACAAUGGCUGGUACAACGGGUCGCGACGGAGCAAUCCUGAGCCAAUCCUUAUAAAGCCAGCCCCAGUUCGGAUUGAGGUCUGCAACUCGACCUCAUGAAGUUGGAAUCGCUAGUAAUCGCGGGUCAGCACACCGCGGUGAAUACGUUCUCGAGCUUUGUACUCACCGCCCGUCAAGCUAAGGAAGCUGGGAGUACCCGAAGUGCCCCUUUAUGGGGUCCCACGGUAAAUUCAGUGACAGGAGCUAAGUCGUAACAAGGUAACC
Molecule: ribosomal RNA, 1424 nt
Filed under: uncultured bacterium
Lineage: Bacteria
Description: bacterial SSU rRNA
Rfam family: Bacterial small subunit ribosomal RNA
Source: RNAcentral